ACGGAAGGCAGCAGUGGGGAAUAUUGGGCAAUGGGCGAAAGCCUGACCCAGCGACGCCGCGUGAAGGAAGAAGGCCCUCGGGUUGUAAACUUCAGUCAACAGGGAAGAAACAAAUGACGGUACCUGCGGAGGAAGCCACGGCUAACUACGUGCCAGCAGCCGCGGUAAUACGUAGGUGGCGAGCGUUAUCCGGAUUUACUGGGUGUAAAGGGUGUGUAGGCGGGUCUGCAAGUCAGAUGUGAAAACUAUGGGCUUAACUCAUAGCUUGCAUUUGAAACUGUGGAUCUUGAGUGUCGGAGGGGUAAAUGGAAUUCCCAGUGUAGCGGUGAAAUGCGUAGAUAUUGGGAGGAACACCAGUGGCGAAGGCGAUUUACUGGACGAUUACUGACGCUGAGACACGAAAGUGUGGGGAGCAAACAGGAUUAGAUACCCUGGUA
Molecule: ribosomal RNA, 437 nt
Filed under: uncultured Oscillospiraceae bacterium
Lineage: Bacteria; Bacillati; Bacillota; Clostridia; Eubacteriales; Oscillospiraceae
Description: partial 16S ribosomal RNA
Rfam family: Bacterial small subunit ribosomal RNA
Source: RNAcentral